UUAUGCACGAUUAUAUAACAUCCAAUGAAUUUAUCUGAGAGGACGUUUACAGAAAUAUAUAUUCAGAUUGUGUUCAGCCUUGUAAGCUAUGCUGACACCGAAGGGAAGGACGUUCAAUCAGAGUCAGUAUCAUUGUCGCAGGGAGACUUUUCUGCUGCACUGUAUGAUGGAUCUAUAUAAGUGAGUGAAAUUCAAGUCAAGGAACCAGAAGAUGUGCCUCAGCAGCAUGGAUCAGUCUGAUAUCCAGCCGGCUCUGGGCCCAGCACCCGCUCUGACUCAUGGGACACCUGGGGGCAGAGCGAGGCCAGCACAUUACGAAUGUCCUAUGGCCUGACAUCAGAAACCCCCACACCCAUCUGAAUCCCCCCCCUCAUUGUUAUUAAUCUCAUCAGAAAAGACAAGCAGGGUUGCAAGGGGGGAGCUGAAGAACAGCUUGAACAGGUGGCCAGUCUAUCUAUCACAGGGCAACAUGGAGGCACACAGGGCACACAACAU
Cyprinodon tularosa is the source of this 495-nucleotide long non-coding RNA. RefSeq lists it as uncharacterized. The record is from RefSeq and is a predicted model, not a curated record. NCBI's taxonomy places the organism in Eukaryota, Metazoa, Chordata, Actinopteri, Cyprinodontiformes, Cyprinodontidae. The transcript has 3 exons.